Molecule: small RNA, 117 nt
Filed under: Arabidopsis thaliana (thale cress)
Lineage: Eukaryota; Viridiplantae; Streptophyta; Magnoliopsida; Brassicales; Brassicaceae
Description: ATSL161280
Source: RNAcentral
GCAAAACUUUCCUUUUAUUAAAAUUAAGACUAUAAAAAGAUAAAUCUAAGAUAAAAAAGAAAGAAAGAUAACUGUUAGAAAUUAUAAAUCAAAAAAUAAGUGUAAGGAAACUAAACA